GCUGAAAAAAUAAUUGAAAGAAAUUGCAAAACUCAAACGAACAAUUAAUAGCCUUUUCUCUUUAAAUAAAGGGUUCAAGAUCUUGAAGCCCAAGUUGAGAUCAAUGGAAGCACCAACAUCACUAUUCUUUGAAACCAAUGUGUUCUUUUUCUUGCACAAGUAAUUAAUUGCCACCCUCCUUCCUUUUCUUCUCAAUUAGUAGAAGUAAAAACCAUAGUCUCAAACCCUCCCCUCAAAAAUUAAAAAAAAAAAAAAAACAGAAAAGAAAACACUUCAACUUCUCAAUUUCACAAAUUUUCUACCAUAAUUUCAAAAAAUAUAGUUCUUUAGCUUUUCAACUUCACAAUUCUUCUGAUCAUAGUUUCACCCUCUCCCCCCCCCUCCCAAAAAAAAAAAAUUAACACAGGUUUUUAGCUUCUUAAUUUCACAAAUUUUCUUUCUUUUUCUUGUUUAAUCCUUGUCAUGUCUAAUCCUCUCGAG
This 480-nucleotide long non-coding RNA is filed under the name Gossypium raimondii (Peruvian cotton). RNAcentral describes it as "long non-coding RNA (GRAI_LNC001850)". The record is from RNAcentral. Lineage: Eukaryota; Viridiplantae; Streptophyta; Magnoliopsida; Malvales; Malvaceae.